Molecule: ribosomal RNA, 497 nt
Filed under: uncultured bacterium
Lineage: Bacteria
Description: partial 16S ribosomal RNA
Rfam family: Bacterial small subunit ribosomal RNA
Source: RNAcentral
GAUGAACGCUGGCGGCGUGCCUAAUACAUGCAAGUCGAGCGAACAGACGAGGAGCUUGCUCCUCUGACGUUAGCGGCGGACGGGUGAGUAACACGUGGAUAACCUACCUAUAAGACUGGGAUAACUUCGGGAAACCGGAGCUAAUACCGGAUAAUAUAUUGAACCGCAUGGUUCAAUAGUUAAAGACGGUUUUGCUGUCACUUUUAGAUGGAUCCGCGCCGCAUUAGCUAGUUGGUAAGGUAACGGCUUACCAAGGCAACGAUGCGUAGCCGACCUGAGAGGGUGAUCGGCCACACUGGAACUGAGACACGGUCCAGACUCCUACGGGAGGCAGCAGUAGGGAAUCUUCCGCAAUGGGCGAAAGCUUGACGGAGCAACGCCGCGUGAGUGAUGAAGGUCUUCGGAUCGUAAAACUCUGUUAUUAGGGAAGAACAAAUGUGUAAGUAACUAUGCACGUCUUGACGGUACCUAAUCAGAAAGCCACGGCUAACUACGUG